Molecule: unclassified non-coding RNA, 403 nt
Filed under: soil metagenome
Description: partial contains 5.8S ribosomal RNA, internal transcribed spacer 2, and large subunit ribosomal RNA
Rfam family: 5.8S ribosomal RNA (bases 1-121)
Source: RNAcentral
GAUGAAGAACGUAGCGAAAUGCGAUAAGUAGUGUGAAUUGCAGAAUUCAGUGAAUCAUCGAAUCUUUGAACGCACCUUGCGCCCUUCGGCUAUUCCGAAGGGCAUGCCUGUUUGAGUAUCAUGAACACCUCAACUCUUCACGGCUUGCCGUGAUGAGUUUGGACUUUGGGGGUCUUGCUGGCCUACGAGCCAGCUCCUCUCAAAUGUAUUAGCUUGCCGGUGUUUGGUGGCAUCACAGGUGUGAUAACUAUCUACGCUUGUGGUUUUCCACUAGGUAACCUUCAGCAAUGGAGGUUCACCGGAGCUCACAAAUGUCUCUCCUUGCCAAGGACAGAUUUUGACCAUUUGAUCUCAAAUCAGGUAGGACUACCCGCUGAACUUAAGCAUAUCAAUAAGCGGAGGA